UUUCCGUAGGUGAACCUGCGGAAGGAUCAAUCCAUAUAUUAUCAUUCAUGAUGAUAUACAAACCUAAACACGCGAUGAAGCUCUCCUGUAGAGUGAAUAGCGUAGUUGGAUCUAGUCGGUUAGACUAGCCAACUGAAACCCAACAACAAUACUAGCCUUUUGAAAUAAACCAAGUAAAUAUACACAACUAUUAGUGGUGGAUCACUUGGCUCGCAGGUCGAUGAAGAACGCAGC
Molecule: unclassified non-coding RNA, 234 nt
Filed under: uncultured fungus
Lineage: Eukaryota; Fungi
Description: sequence contains ITS1, 5.8S rRNA gene
Rfam family: 5.8S ribosomal RNA (bases 186-234)
Source: RNAcentral